UGAGGACCACACUAGCUAUAAGAUGUGUCAGGCAGCCAUGAUUCCACAGCAGAUAAAUAAUUUGCAAUGAAUAGAUUUAUGUAACACAUGAUGGAGUUCUGUCACCUUGUUGGAGAAGUUGGAAGCUGCCCUGUUCUCUGGCUUCUGACUGCUCCAUUCCACCUGAUGGUGAAAGGUUGUGACAUUAAGGAAAUUUAGCCGCCAUCCUAAUGUGAUGGGUUCGUUGCAUUCUCUCGGAGUAGUCCUCUCGGAACUGAGGAGGGCAUAGAGUUGCCUUUCUGACCUCGUGCAAGUCCCUGUCCAUGAGAGUUCAGAGAGAACAGUUGAUAGCUAUAGUCAUCAGACUGGAACCUCAAAGUUAUCAUACAUGGAUUGUUUUGGAUGCUUUAGUUUUCACCUGUAGAUCAAAGGAAGAAUUGCC
This 421-nucleotide long non-coding RNA is filed under the name Musa acuminata (dwarf banana). RNAcentral's name for it is "long non-coding RNA (MACU_LNC001402)". Lineage: Eukaryota; Viridiplantae; Streptophyta; Magnoliopsida; Zingiberales; Musaceae. The record is from RNAcentral.